This 275-nucleotide ribosomal RNA is filed under the name uncultured bacterium. RNAcentral's name for it is "partial 16S ribosomal RNA". It matches the Rfam family "Bacterial small subunit ribosomal RNA", at positions 523 to 796 of the family's 1533-position model. The record is from RNAcentral.
AUACGAAAGGUGCAAGCGUUGUUCGGAUUUACUGGGCGUAAAGAGAGUGUAGGUGGUUUAUUAAGUCGGAUGUGAAAUCCCGGGGCUCAACCUCGGAACUGCAUUCGAUACUGAUAGGCUAGAGUUUGGGAGGGGUAAGCGGAAUUCCGUGUGUAGCAGUGAAAUGCGUAGAUAUACGGAGGAACACCUGAGGCGAAGGCGGCUUACUGGACCAAAUACUGACACUGAGACUCGAAAGCGUGGGUAGCAAACAGGAUUAGAAACCCCGGUAGUCC